AUCUUGACCUCAGAUCAGGCAAGGCUACCCGCUGAAUUUA
This 40-nucleotide ribosomal RNA is filed under the name Porites okinawensis (hump coral). RNAcentral describes it as "partial 28S ribosomal RNA". The record is from RNAcentral. Lineage: Eukaryota; Metazoa; Cnidaria; Anthozoa; Scleractinia; Poritidae.